RNAcentral lists this long non-coding RNA (1006 nucleotides) under Bemisia tabaci. RNAcentral's name for it is "lncRNA ENSSWEETPG002486". The record is from RNAcentral. Lineage: Eukaryota; Metazoa; Arthropoda; Insecta; Hemiptera; Aleyrodidae.
CUGAGAAGAAUAAAUUAAUGUUGCUUACUAAUUCUAACUCUAAUUCUUUCCCCAUCCCAUUCAAUAUGGGUCCCUCCAUUGAAACAAUUUAUUUUACUCUCCAGAUUCCGCAAUAUUAUGUUGUCAUUAUUAGCCGCAGACCGCACUACUCAAGGACUGCCAAGAAUCUCAUUUACACCGAUUUCCCGGCCCAAUUUUGGCUCAAUUUGGUGACCUCAUAAACUUUCAUUAAAAAAUUUUGAAAGGUUGGUAAUUAUUAUUUAUAAUAUUUGAAUUAAUUUAUUAAUUUGUUUGUUACUUUUUGUCUAAACUGGAAACUUGCAUAUCUUUUGGCCUCAACACUUAAAGGUUAUAUUCAAUCCAAUGUUUUUCUAUACUAUCCUCUGACGCUGACUGAACUUGAAGUAAUGUUUGCAAUUCAAAAUGAGUAACCAGUAAUUAAUGGAAAGUUAGGCAUAAAAUUUCACUGAUUUCCUGAGUCGAAAUGGCUUUACCCUGGAAAAGGUGUUUCUGUUUAGUUUAGGUAGGUAGAUAGAUAGAUAGGUGUUCUGUUUUGUUUGAAUAGAUAGUCUGUCCGUAAAUAUUAAACAUCCGACAUCUGUAGUAUCAAGAAUUUAGUUUCAAUUCUUUGUCAGUAUUUCACUUUUACUGAGGUAUUUUUUUUUCUUGCUUAGUUAUGCGCUGAAUAUUUUGGCCCAAUUAUUGAGUUGUGGCUGAAUUGCCUCUUGUCAGUUUGGAAAAUGGAACCUGCUAGCACUGUUUAUCUAAUCAAUAUUUGUUGAAGACUGCUUUUUUGAUGCAAAUAUGAGACUGAGGGUUCUUGAAAUCCUUACCACUUUUUACAAAUCACAGAUGAUGGGGGACUCGCACAAUUCAACAAACGGUCUUUCGUUCCUAGUCAGCUGGAUGUCUAACAGCACUCAAGCGUACCCAACUCUAAUUCCGAAAAACAUCUUUCAACCAGAAUUGAGCUGGUAUGCCCUCUUUGUUCUCGAAAUUGAAGAGA